ACUCCUACGGGAGGCAGCAGUGGGGAAUAUUGCACAAUGGGGGAAACCCUGAUGCAGCCAUGCCGCGUGUGUGAAGAAGGCCUUCGGGUUGUAAAGCACUUUCAGUAGGGAGGAAGGUAGUGUAGUUAACACCUGCACUAUUUUGACGUUACCUACAGAAGAGCACCGGCUAACUCCGGUGCCAGCAGCCGCGGUAAUACGGAGGGUGCGAGCGUUAAUCGGAAUUACUGGGCGUAAAGCGCAUGCAGGCGGCCUGUUAAGUCAGAUGUGAAAGCCCGGGGCUUAACCUCGGAAUUGCAUUUGAAACUGGCAGGCUAGAGUCUUGUAGAGGGGGGUAGAAUUUCAGGUGUAGCGGUGAAAUGCGUAGAGAUCUGAAGGAAUACCAGUGGCGAAGGCGGCCCCCUGGACAAAGACUGACGCUCAGAUGCGAAAGCGUGGGGAGC
This 443-nucleotide ribosomal RNA is filed under the name uncultured bacterium. RNAcentral's name for it is "bacterial SSU rRNA". It matches the Rfam family "Bacterial small subunit ribosomal RNA", at positions 335 to 769 of the family's 1533-position model. The record is from RNAcentral.